CCUACGGGAGGCAGCAGUGGGGAAUAUUGGACAAUGGGCGCAAGCCUGAUCCAGCCAUGCCGCGUGAGUGAUGAAGGCCUUAGGGUUGUAAAGCUCUUUCAGUAGGGACGAUAAUGACGGUACCUACAGAAGAAGCCCCGGCUAACUUCGUGCCAGCAGCCGCGGUAAUACGAAGGGGGCUAGCGUUGUUCGGAUUUACUGGGCGUAAAGCGCACGUAGGCGGAUCGUUAAGUCGGGGGUGAAAUCCUGGAGCUCAACUCCAGAACUGCCUUCGAUACUGGCGAUCUUGAGUCCGGAAGAGGUGAGUGGAACUCCUAGUGUAGAGGUGGAAUUCGUAGAUAUUAGGAAGAACACCAGUGGCGAAGGCGGCUCACUGGUCCGGUACUGACGCUGAGGUGUGAAAGCGUGGGGAGCAAACAGGAUUAGAUACCCUGGUAGUCCACGCCGUAAACUAUGAGAGCUAGCCGUUGGGAGAUUUAUCUCUCAGUGGCGCAGCUAACGCAUUAAGCUCUCCGCCUGGGGAGUACGGCGCAAGAUUAAAACUCAAAGGAAUUGACGG
RNAcentral lists this ribosomal RNA (559 nucleotides) under uncultured bacterium. RNAcentral describes it as "bacterial SSU rRNA". It matches the Rfam family "Bacterial small subunit ribosomal RNA", at positions 338 to 916 of the family's 1533-position model. The record is from RNAcentral.